Molecule: small nuclear RNA, 94 nt
Filed under: Erinaceus europaeus (western European hedgehog)
Lineage: Eukaryota; Metazoa; Chordata; Mammalia; Eulipotyphla; Erinaceidae
Description: U2 spliceosomal RNA (ENSEEUG00000020340.1)
Rfam family: U2 spliceosomal RNA
About the family: U2 is a small nuclear RNA (snRNA) component of the spliceosome (involved in pre-mRNA splicing). Complementary binding between U2 snRNA (in an area lying towards the 5' end but 3' to hairpin I) and the branchpoint sequence (BPS) of the intron results the bulging out of an unpaired adenosine, on the BPS, which initiates a nucleophilic attack at the intronic 5' splice site, thus starting the first of two transesterification reactions that mediate splicing.
Source: RNAcentral
AUCUCUUCUCAGCCUUUUGGACAAGAUCAAGUGCAGUAUCUGUUCUUAUCAGUUUAAUAUUUGAUACAUCCUCUAUCUGGUUUAUUGAAUCUUA